AGAGUUUGAUCCUGGCUCAGGAUGAACGCUAGCGGGAGGCCUAACACAUGCAAGUCGAACGGGAUUGAGAGCUUGCUCUCAUGAGAGUGGCGCACGGGUGAGUAACGCGUAUGCAACCUGCCUUUAACUGAGGGAUAGCCCAUAGAAAUGUGGAUUAAUACCUCAUAGUUCUUUUGGUCUGCAUGGGCUGAAAGGUAAAGCUCCGGCGGUUAAAGAUGGGCAUGCGUGACAUUAGCUAGUUGGUGAGGUAACGGCUCACCAAGGCGACGAUGUCUAGGGGUUCUGAGAGGAUGAUCCCCCACACUGGUACUGAGACACGGACCAGACUCCUACGGGAGGCAGCAGUGAGGAAUAUUGGUCAAUGGGCGCAAGCCUGAACCAGCCAUCCCGCGUGCAGGAUGACGGCCCUAUGGGUUGUAAACUGCUUUUGUACAGGAAGAAAAAUCCCUACGAGUAGGGACC
Molecule: ribosomal RNA, 462 nt
Filed under: uncultured bacterium
Lineage: Bacteria
Description: bacterial SSU rRNA
Rfam family: Bacterial small subunit ribosomal RNA
Source: RNAcentral